RNAcentral lists this ribosomal RNA (407 nucleotides) under uncultured bacterium. RNAcentral's name for it is "partial 16S ribosomal RNA". It matches the Rfam family "Bacterial small subunit ribosomal RNA", at positions 30 to 526 of the family's 1533-position model. The record is from RNAcentral.
AUUGAACGCUGGCGGCAGGCCUAACACAUGCAAGUCGAGCGGAGCGGCGGACGGGUGAGUAAUGCCGAGGAAUCUGCAAGGUAGUGGGGGAUAAAGUCAGGAAAUGGGAGCUAAUACUACAAACUAUCAGAGGAGCCAAGGUCGGAGUAGGUAGUUGGUGGGGUAAAGGCCUACCAAGGCGACGAUCCUGAACUGGUGUGAGAGGAUGAGCAUUCACACUGGAACUGAGACACGGUCCAGACUCCUACGGGAGGCAGCAGUGGGGAAUAUUGGACAAUGGGCGAAAGCCUGAUCCAGCCAUGCCGCGUGUGUGAAGAAGGUCUUCGGAUUGUAAAGCCCUUUCAGUUGGGAGGCGUUACCAACAGAAUAAGCACCGGCUAACUUCGUGCCAGCCGCCGCGGUAAUUC